GCCAAUGUAGCUCAGCUGGUAGAGCAGCUCACUCGUAAUGAGCAGGUCGUCUGUUCGAAUCAGAUCAUUGGCUCCA
This 76-nucleotide transfer RNA is filed under the name Verrucomicrobiota bacterium. RNAcentral's name for it is "Verrucomicrobia bacterium tRNA-Thr". It matches the Rfam family "tRNA". From Rfam's summary of the family: Transfer RNA (tRNA) molecules are approximately 80 nucleotides in length. The record is from RNAcentral. Lineage: Bacteria; Pseudomonadati; Verrucomicrobiota.